CAGUCGCCGCGGUAAUACGGAGGGUGCAAGCGUUAUCCGGAUUUAUUGGGUUUAAAGGGUCCGUAGGCGGACUUAUAAGUCAGUGGUGAAAGCCUGUCGCUUAACGAUAGAACUGCCAUUGAUACUGUAAGUCUUGAGUAUAUUUGAGGUAGCUGGAAUAAGUAGUGUAGCGGUGAAAUGCAUAGAUAUUACUUAGAACACCAAUUGCGAAGGCAGGUUACCAAGAUAUAACUGACGCUGAGGGACGAAAGCGUGGGUAGCGAACAGGAUUAGAUACCCCAGUAGUCUCUGUCUCUUAUAC
Molecule: ribosomal RNA, 301 nt
Filed under: uncultured bacterium
Lineage: Bacteria
Description: partial 16S ribosomal RNA
Rfam family: Bacterial small subunit ribosomal RNA
Source: RNAcentral